GCCAGGAGUGGUGAUGCACGCCUGUAAUCCCAGUCACUCAGGAGGCUGAGGUGGGAGGAUUGCAAGUUCAAGGCCAGCCUCAGAAACUUAAGGAAACCCUCAGCAAUUUAGUGAGACCAUGUCUCAA
RNAcentral lists this small RNA (127 nucleotides) under Marmota monax (woodchuck). Lineage: Eukaryota; Metazoa; Chordata; Mammalia; Rodentia; Sciuridae. The record is from RNAcentral.